AUUGUCUUCUGUCAAUUAUGGGAAUGGGUGCCAAUAAUUUUUAGUGCAUUUUCCCCACAGUUUUGGUUUUCAGGUAAUGAACUACACCAAUGUUCAAGUACAUGGUUUUAUGUUUUUAACAUUAUGAUAAUCUCAUAUUGCUACUUCUAUCUAAAUGUUAUAAACUGUACUAAAACUUUGAUUUUCUUAAAUCUAAGACAUUGCUGCCUGAAGUGGGAAACCCAUACUCUCAACAACUCAGAAUGAUAAUGGGUAUUAUCCAACAAAAGAGGCCAUAUUCAAUGAAGCUCACAAUUGUAAAGCAGCGAGAACAACCAGAAAUGGUUUUCCGACAGUUCCUGGUAGAAGACAAAGGACUUUACGGAGGCUCUUCUUAUGUGGAUUUCCUUUGUUGUGUUCACAAGGAGAUCUGUCAGCUGCUU
RNAcentral lists this long non-coding RNA (422 nucleotides) under Homo sapiens (human). RNAcentral's name for it is "non-protein coding lnc-PRSS12-3:1". Lineage: Eukaryota; Metazoa; Chordata; Mammalia; Primates; Hominidae. The record is from RNAcentral.